GAGGUGGAGGCUGCAGUGAGCCGAGAUUGUGUCAUUACACUCCAGCCUGGGUGACAGAGUAAGACUCCAUCUCAAAACAAACAAACAAAAACAAAAAACCCACAUUAAGUAGGUUUUUCAAAGUCACGUUAAAUUUUAAUCUGAACCUCUAUUGCCUGUUAAGCCGCUUUCUCAUUACAACAGACUUUUAGAAACUUUUAUUCUGUGAUACUUUCGUCAGUAGAGGUGUUUCCUUUUAGCCAAUUCUAGCCACAAUAUUGACUGGACCCAGGCAUUUGAUACACCCAGAAGGAAUUAACCAGGCAGGAGAAAACUUGGUCCCUACUGGAAUGAAUAUUUUAAAGACCAUCUUAGAUUCUGAAAACUUUGUACUAGAAGAGUGUUUCCAUAUGUGUCACUUGAGGAAUCUGCACCUUCUGGCUCACUGCACUUCACAGCCCAGCGUAUCACUGAGAAUUCAGAAAUCUUACUCUUUACCCAGGGAUGAACACAUCCUUAUGAGUUCAGGUGCACUAAAUACAUAGGAACACCCAGAGAAAAUGAGCAUAAAACAAUGGUUCUUUUUAUUUUGGAAGUUUCAGACAAACUCUUUGGAAAAUCUGAAGAAAUCUAUGGAUCCUUUUCCUGGGAAGACUGCACAGACAUACAUAUUCGUGUGGUUUCUGUGGGUGUAGGGACUGGCCCUGGUCACGUGUCAGGAAGCCCCGAUCCAGAAGAUGGUCUUCAUUUUACCUUGGCUGGCGAUCUGACUCUGUUCUCGCGCCUAUCCGUGAUUGAUUCUCUGUCGCCUUGGAAUGGAGUGUCAGGUCUUGAAGGUUGCUCACUGCCUUUCCAAGCAUAGAACUGAGCCACACGGCAAGAGCUUCCUAAUGAAAUGGACAGAAACUCUCUGCAAAGGGCUGCCCCAGAAGCACAGGUGAUAGAAAUAGAGUCCAAGGCACUAAGGCGUGCUGAGCCACAGUCCUCCUAGGUGAUGCCUCCUGCUGGCUUAGUGGGUUUAUUUCGUAAGUUGAGUACUAUUGUCCUGUUUUUAAAAUGAACAUAUUUCUUCUAACAUUUCUAACAGUUAUGAAGGUUUUCUCCCUAAGUGUGACUUUUUCUUAUGUCUUGGGGUAUCAGAUUUACGGCGUAACGUGUACUUCAAAUUAUAGCAGUGACUGGAAAUUUAGGAUUCUUUUGUUUCAUAACACUUAAAUCUGCAGCACAUUUUCAGGAAAAUGGGCAAGUUUCACAGAUAAUUCCUUCCUUAUUCCUUUCAGAUUUUACAAUUGUAUGGUUAUUUCUGAAUUUGGUUAAUUUGUUUAUAAGUGUAGUGGACAUUUAACAGAACAGAUGCACCCGGUUAUCUGAUUGGAAACAUGUUUCAACACAAGGGUCUCUUUGCAUGGUUCCAAUCUCUGUUUUGGGAUCUGGGAUUCUCCACCUGCUACAUCGUUCGCUGGAACUUUCCUGCAAAAUACAGCCUCACUGAGAGGCACAUCAUGGAAGAAUGAAGCAGCCUGAAGAAACUCUAAUGUUGGGACAAGUGGAGAGAUGGAAGAGCACCAUCAGAGGGUGCCGCCGCACAUUUGGGAGGCAUCCCAGGCGCAUGGCUCUUUGUACAUGAGACAGGAUACCACUGUCUUUUAUGCAUUGGACUGGUAACCAGAUAAAAUAACCUUGUAAAACAGACCUUUUAUGUAAGAAAAAUAGAACUCUCACCUCGCAAACAUUGCUGUCUGUUGCGGAUGAACCCAGCAGCAGGAGGGGAGCCAAGUCAGUCCACUUGGCCUGAAAGUUAACGUCAUGUAUUCAGAUGUGAAGGGGUUUCUGUGCAUGCUUUUGAAGUAUUGUGUUUGGGCUUUUACAACGUGUGCCUCACUGUUUCACAUCUACAGAGAGAGUGCCCCUGCAAGAGGAACCUGAGUGGAUCCAUGCCCACAUCUGCAUUCUCUGUCCUCACUACUACUCCCUGCUGGUUGAUACAAAUGUGGGGAUAAUGUCGAGCACAAAGGAGUCUAAAAUUGAUUAGGGCUGGGUGUGGUGGCUCACGCCUGUAAUCCUAGCACUUUGGGAGGCCAGGGCAGGAGGACUGCCCAAGACCAGGAGUUCAAGACUAGCCUGGUCAACAUAGCAAGACCCUGUCUCUACAAGAAAUUAAAAAAUUAGCUGGGCGUGGUGGUGCGUACUUGUAGUCCCAGCUGUUUGGGAGGCUGAGGCUGGAGGAUCGCUUGAGCACAGGUGUUUGAGGCUGCAGGGAGCUAUGAUCAUGCCAUUGCACUUCAUCCCAGGUGAUGGAGUAAGACCCUAUCUCUUAUUAAAAAAAAAAAAAAAAAUUGGAAUCCUGUUUAUCCAUGUUGCUUUUCUUUGCCAAGUAA
Non-coding RNA from Chlorocebus sabaeus (green monkey), 2357 nucleotides. NCBI's taxonomy places the organism in Eukaryota, Metazoa, Chordata, Mammalia, Primates, Cercopithecidae. The record is from RefSeq and is a predicted model, not a curated record.